GGGUUGUGAGGUUAAGCGACUAAGCGUACACGGUGGAUGCCCUGGCAGUCAGAGGCGAUGAAGGGCGUGCUAAUCUGCGAUAAGCGCCGGUAAGGUGAUAUGAACCGUUAUAACCGGCGAUACCCGAAUGGGGAAACCCAGUGUGAUUCGUCACACUAUCAUUAACUGAAUCCAUAGGUUAAUGAGGCGAACCGGGGGAACUGAAACAUCUAAGUACCCCGAGGAAAAGAAAUCAACCGAGAUUCCCCCAGUAGCGGCGAGCGAACGGGGAGGAGCCCAGAGCCUGAAUCAGCAUGUGUGUUAGUGGAAGCGUCUGGAAAGGCGCGCGAUACAGGGUGACAGCCCCGUACACAAAAGCGCAUGUGCUGUGAGCUCGAUGAGUAGGGCGGGACACGUGGUAUCCUGUCUGAAUAUGGGGGGACCAUCCUCCAAGGCUAAAUACUCCUGACUGACCGAUAGUGAACCAGUACCGUGAGGGAAAGGCGAAAAGAACCCCGGCGAGGGGAGUGAAAAAGAACCUGAAACCGUGUACGUACAAGCAGUGGGAGCNNNNNNNNNNNNNNNNNNNNNNNNNNNNNNNNNNNNNNNGGGCGUUAAGUUGCAGGGUAUAGACCCGAAACCCGGUGAUCUAGCCAUGGGCAGGUUGAAGGUUGGGUAACACUAACUGGAGGACCGAACCGACUAAUGUUGAAAAAUUAGCGGAUGACCUGUGGCUGGGGGUGAAAGGCCAAUCAAACCGGGAGAUAGCUGGUUCUCCCCGAAAGCUAUUUAGGUAGCGCCUCGUGAAUUCAUCUCCGGGGGUAGAGCACUGUUUCGGCUAGGGGGCCAUCCCGGCUUACCAACCCGAUGCAAACUGCGAAUACCGGAGAAUGUUAUCACGGGAGACACACGGCGGGUGCUAACGUCCGUCGUGAAGAGGGAAACAACCCAGACCGCCAGCUAAGGUCCCAAAGUCAUGGUUAAGUGGGAAACGAUGUGGGAAGGCCCAGACAGCCAGGAUGUUGGCUUAGAAGCAGCCAUCAUUUAAAGAAAGCGUAAUAGCUCACUGGUCGAGUCGGCCUGCGCGGAAGAUGUAACGGGGCUAAACCAUGCACCGAAGCUGCGGCAGCGACACUGUGUGUUGUUGGGUAGGGGAGCGUUCUGUAAGCCUGCGAAGGUGGCCUGUGAGGGUUGCUGGAGGUAUCAGAAGUGCGAAUGCUGACAUAAGUAACGAUAAAGCGGGUGAAAAGCCCGCUCGCCGGAAGACCAAGGGUUCCUGUCCAACGUUAAUCGGGGCAGGGUGAGUCGACCCCUAAGGCGAGGCCGAAAGGCGUAGUCGAUGGGAAACGGGUUAAUAUUCCCGUACUUGGUGUUACUGCGAAGGGGGGACGGAGAAGGCUAUGUUGGCCGGGCGACGGUUGUCCCGGUUUAAGCGUGUAGGUGUGUGUUCCAGGUAAAUCCGGUUCACUUUAACACUGAGGCGUGACGACGAGGCACUACGGUGCUGAAGCAACAAAUGCCCUGCUUCCAGGAAAAGCCUCUAAGCAUCAGGUAACAUCAAAUCGUACCCCAAACCGACACAGGUGGUCAGGUAGAGAAUACCAAGGCGCUUGAGAGAACUCGGGUGAAGGAACUAGGCAAAAUGGUGCCGUAACUUCGGGAGAAGGCACGCUGACACGUAGGUGAAGUGAUUUACUCAUGGAGCUGAAGUCAGUCGAAGAUACCAGCUGGCUGCAACUGUUUAUUAAAAACACAGCACUGUGCAAACACGAAAGUGGACGUAUACGGUGUGACGCCUGCCCGGUGCCGGAAGGUUAAUUGAUGGGGUCAGCGCAAGCGAAGCUCCUGAUCGAAGCCCCGGUAAACGGCGGCCGUAACUAUAACGGUCCUAAGGUAGCGAAAUUCCUUGUCGGGUAAGUUCCGACCUGCACGAAUGGCGUAAUGAUGGCCAGGCUGUCUCCACCCGAGACUCAGUGAAAUUGAACUCGCUGUGAAGAUGCAGUGUACCCGCGGCAAGACGGAAAGACCCCGUGAACCUUUACUAUAGCUUGACACUGAACAUUGAGCCUUGAUGUGUAGGAUAGGUGGGAGGCUUUGAAGUGUGGACGCCAGUCUGCAUGGAGCCGACCUUGAAAUACCACCCUUUAAUGUUUGAUGUUCUAACGUGGACCCGUUACCCGGGUUGCGGACAGUGUCUGGUGGGUAGUUUGACUGGGGCGGUCUCCUCCUAAAGAGUAACGGAGGAGCACGAAGGUUGGCUAAUCCUGGUCGGACAUCAGGAGGUUAGUGCAAUGGCAUAAGCCAGCUUGACUGCGAGCGUGACGGCGCGAGCAGGUGCGAAAGCAGGUCAUAGUGAUCCGGUGGUUCUGAAUGGAAGGGCCAUCGCUCAACGGAUAAAAGGUACUCCGGGGAUAACAGGCUGAUACCGCCCAAGAGUUCAUAUCGACGGCGGUGUUUGGCACCUCGAUGUCGGCUCAUCACAUCCUGGGGCUGAAGUAGGUCCCAAGGGUAUGGCUGUUCGCCAUUUAAAGUGGUACGCGAGCUGGGUUUAGAACGUCGUGAGACAGUUCGGUCCCUAUCUGCCGUGGGCGCUGGAGAACUGAGGGGGGCUGCUCCUAGUACGAGAGGACCGGAGUGGACGCAUCACUGGUGUUCGGGUUGUCAUGCCAAUGGCACUGCCCGGUAGCUAAAUGCGGAAGAGAUAAGUGCUGAAAGCAUCUAAGCACGAAACUUGCCCCGAGAUGAGUUCUCCCUGAGACUUAAAGUCUCCUGAAGGAACGUUGAAGACGACGACGUUGAUAGGCCGGGUGUGUAAGCGCAGCGAUGCGUUGAGCUAACCGGUACUAAUGAACCGUGAGGCUUAACCUUACAACGCCGAAG
This 2859-nucleotide ribosomal RNA is filed under the name Salmonella enterica subsp. enterica serovar Enteritidis. RNAcentral's name for it is "bacterial LSU rRNA". It matches the Rfam family "Bacterial large subunit ribosomal RNA". Lineage: Bacteria; Pseudomonadati; Pseudomonadota; Gammaproteobacteria; Enterobacterales; Enterobacteriaceae. The record is from RNAcentral.